This 253-nucleotide ribosomal RNA is filed under the name uncultured bacterium. Its description in RNAcentral is "partial 16S ribosomal RNA". It matches the Rfam family "Bacterial small subunit ribosomal RNA", at positions 524 to 776 of the family's 1533-position model. The record is from RNAcentral.
UACAGAGGGGGCAAGCGUUGUUCGGAAUUACUGGGCGUAAAGGGCGCGUAGGCGGCCUGUUAGGUCGAACGUGAAAUCCCCGGGCUCAACCCGGGAACUGCGUCCGAUACUGGCAGGCUUGAAUCCGGGAGAGGGAUGCGGAAUUCCAGGUGUAGCGGUGAAAUGCGUAGAUAUCUGGAGGAACACCGGUGGCGAAGGCGGCAUCCUGGACCGGCAUUGACGCUGAGGCGCGAAAGCCAGGGGAGCAAACGGG